This 772-nucleotide long non-coding RNA is filed under the name Phoenix dactylifera (date palm). RNAcentral describes it as "long non-coding RNA (PDAC_LNC018290)". The record is from RNAcentral. Lineage: Eukaryota; Viridiplantae; Streptophyta; Magnoliopsida; Arecales; Arecaceae.
GACCGCCUUGCCGUCGGCUCGCCACCGGACGCCGCCGUUUGCCGGAGUCUCCCAUCGCCAGUACAGCCGCCGCGACCUCCGCCCCUGCCCGCAGCCACCGCCGCGGAGAUUGGUAUUGUCCGAUUCCUGUUUACCUAAAAAUACGCUAAACAGAUCGUUGUUAGAACUGACAAACAAAGUUUAAUUUAAUUAUACUCUUACCUUUUCUACUCGAAGAAUAGUGGUCGUAAGAGGUCGAUCCACAGGGAGGCGAUUGGAGUUGCAUAAAAAUUAAAACGUUCACUCGGAUUCGAAAUCGAUUUUUGAACGAUAGAAGAAAAACAUUACUUUGAGGAUGUUAAAUGAUUCUCUGGUUUACCAGAGAAUAUUUUUUAUUUAAAAUUAACAAAAAGCAGGUAAAGAGCAUUUAUAUAUUUAACUAAUCAAAGAAGAGCUUUGGAAUAAAUUAAAAUGGAUGAAAACAGUGCUAAGAAGAUCAAAGCCUAGAACAUAAAUUGCAUAAAAAAAAUUUAAUGUAUUGCAUAAAAAGAAAAAUUACAGAAUCUACAAAACAGAAUAAAAGAAGAAAAAUUGCAACAUAAAAAAAAAAAACUGAAAAGUAAAAACUCUCCACCAAAAUAAAACUCUCUAAAAUUAAAACUUAACACAAAACCUCUUAACAUAAGACUUUCAAUUAAAACUCAACAAAAAAAACACAAUGCUCUGUUUUCAAACUUCGUUGAAAACAGAGCAAGGCAUUCUCUCCCAAAUUCCCUCUUCUUUUUUUUUUUUU